ACCAAAGGUAAACAUAUGCCUAACCUAGGACUUACAGUAUGAGGUUAGAGAACACUUACUCACUGUUCCCGCUGAACAGUUCACCUCCAGUCUUUUGCUCCAUCAUUGCCCCUGUCCAGAUGCUUUCAUCACACUUUUUCCCAAUCCCAGAGACCAGCUGAGAUCACUCUCCCUGCUCCCUACAAAGAGAUCGAUCUCCCCUCUUAAGGAAAAUUCUGCCACUUACCUAUUACCACUGACAAAUGACUGAUGGAUUCUUCACAUAUAAAUUGUCUCAUGUGAUUUUACAACGUUCUAAUUUGCUCCUCACAAUACCAUUGUGAGGAAGGCAAGAUAUGGAGUGUUAACCCCACUUCACAGAUGAGAAAAUGGAACUUCAAAGAGAGAGAAGAUGACAUCUCCAGUUUACAUGGCCUUAUUAUUCCAGACCCCACAGGCAAUGCUAAAUUGUUGGAAGAAAUCGGGAGCACAACACAGCAUCCCAAGGCUCCUUGCUGCAAAGUGUUCAAAGGCGGCUGGCAGUGGCAAUGGGCUUCACGAACUACAAUAUAAACACAAUUAUCAAAUCACAGACUGAUCAAAUGCCAGAAACCACACCUCAGAUAAUUCCACCUGCAUACAAAAUAGAGCUAUUUUAUUUCAAAAUAGAGCAUAAUAAAACUUAAAAUAAUUCAA
Molecule: long non-coding RNA, 675 nt
Filed under: Homo sapiens (human)
Lineage: Eukaryota; Metazoa; Chordata; Mammalia; Primates; Hominidae
Description: HSALNT0400762
Source: RNAcentral